Molecule: long non-coding RNA, 441 nt
Filed under: Homo sapiens (human)
Lineage: Eukaryota; Metazoa; Chordata; Mammalia; Primates; Hominidae
Description: HSALNT0048764
Source: RNAcentral
GUUCUGUGACCCUGAUCUGGCAGUGGGAUUCUUCUGGAGUCCUCUGGAGUCUCAUGGGCAGGGCCACACAGCUCUCCUGGGACUGAGUUACCACCUGGGGUAGGAUAGUGCCCGUCUGCGCUGCCCAGGCUCCCCAAUUCAUGUGAGGUGAACUGGUGGGAAUAUUUAUCAGCAAAUGCUAUGACCCGGGGCUCUUUCCCCCUGGAGAGCCAGCUGUUCCACAGUGACCAGCACACCAUGCUAAGGAGCCCUUUCCCCAGUUACCACCGCACCUCGCCAUGACAAUACCUCUACUUCAGGAAUGCUCUGAAAAUACUGUCUGCGGAUGAUUCUGCUGGGUCCCGAGCCCUCUCCUCUCUUCUGUAUGGACCCACCCAACCAAGUCUGGCUCAAUUUCAUCCGCUCGCACAGGUUACCUCUUAGAAGCCACAUUAAAAUCCC